AUCUUCAGGGCGGGGUGCGAUUCCCCACCGGCGGUAAAGUCCGCGAGCGCCUGCGCGCAGAAUCGGUGUAAUUCCGAUACCGACAGUAUAGUCUGGAUGGAAGAAGAU
Molecule: non-coding RNA, 108 nt
Filed under: uncultured Faecousia sp.
Lineage: Bacteria; Bacillati; Bacillota; Clostridia; Eubacteriales; Oscillospiraceae
Description: FMN riboswitch (RFN element)
Rfam family: FMN riboswitch aptamer (RFN element)
About the family: The RFN element is a highly conserved domain that is found frequently in the 5'-untranslated regions of prokaryotic mRNAs that encode for flavin mononucleotide (FMN) biosynthesis and transport proteins.
Source: RNAcentral